RNAcentral lists this ribosomal RNA (1041 nucleotides) under Apilactobacillus kunkeei. RNAcentral describes it as "bacterial SSU rRNA". It matches the Rfam family "Bacterial small subunit ribosomal RNA", at positions 86 to 1109 of the family's 1533-position model. The record is from RNAcentral. Lineage: Bacteria; Bacillati; Bacillota; Bacilli; Lactobacillales; Lactobacillaceae.
UCGGAGCGAGUGGCGAACUGGUGAGUAACACGUGGGUAACCUGCCCCGAAGCGGGGGAUAACAUUUGGAAACAAGUGCUAAUACCGCAUAAUUAGUUGGAACCGCAUGGUUCCAACUUGAAAGAUGGCUCUGCUAUCACUUUGGGAUGGACCCGCGCCGUAUUAUUUAGUUGGUGAGAUAAAAGCCCACCAAGACGAUGAUACGUAGCCGACCUGAGAGGGUAAUCGGCCACAUUGGGACUGAGACACGGCCCAGACUCCUACGGGAGGCAGCAGUAGGGAAUCUUCCACAAUGGACGAAAGUCUGAUGGAGCAACGCCGCGUGAGUGAUGAAGGUUUUCGGAUCGUAAAACUCUGUUGUUAAAGAAGAACAAGUGUUAGAGUAACUGUUAACACUUUGACGGUAUUUAACCAGAAAGCCACGGCUAACUACGUGCCAGCAGCCGCGGUAAUACGUAGGUGGCAAGCGUUGUCCGGAUUUAUUGGGCGUAAAGCGAGCGCAGGCGGUUUUGUAAGUCUGCUGUGAAAGCCCUCAGCUCAACUGAGGAAGUGCAGUGGAAACUACAAAACUUGAGUACAGAAGAGGAAAGUGGAACUCCAUGUGUAGCGGUGAAAUGCGUAGAUAUAUGGAAGAACACCAGUGGCGAAGGCGGCUUUCUGGUCUGUUACUGACGCUGAGGCUCGAAAGCAUGGGUAGCGAACAGGAUUAGAUACCCUGGUAGUCCAUGCCGUAAACGAUGAAUACUAGGUGUUGGAGGGUUUCCGCCCUUCAGUGCCGCAGCUAACGCAUUAAGUAUUCCGCCUGGGGAGUACGACCGCAAGGUUGAAACUCAAAGGAAUUGACGGGGGCCCGCACAAGUGGUGGAGCAUGUGGUUUAAUUCGAUGCUACGCGAAGAACCUUACCAGCUCUUGACAUCUUUCUGCCAACCCAAGAGAUUGGGCGUUUCCCUUCGGGGACAGAAUGACAGGUGGUGCAUGGGUUGUCGUCAGCUCGUGUCGUGAGAAUGUUGGGUUAAGUCCGCAACGAGCGCAACCCUUAUU